Molecule: ribosomal RNA, 253 nt
Filed under: uncultured bacterium
Lineage: Bacteria
Description: partial 16S ribosomal RNA
Rfam family: Bacterial small subunit ribosomal RNA
Source: RNAcentral
UACAGAGGUCUCAAGCGUUGUUCGGAUUCAUUGGGCGUAAAGGGUGCGUAGGCGGCGCGGUAAGUCGGGUGUGAAAUCUCGGAGCUUAACUCCGAAACUGCAUUCGAUACUGCCGUGCUUGAGGACUGGAGAGGAGACUGGAAUUUACGGUGUAGCGGUGAAAUGCGUAGAUAUCGUAAGGAAGACCAGUGGCGAAGGCGGGUCUCUGGACAGUACCUGACGCUGAGGCACGAAGGCCAGGGGAGCAAACGGG